CCUACGGGUGGCAGCAGUGAGGAAUAUUGGUCAAUGGGCGCGAGCCUGAACCAGCCAAGCCGCGUGAAGGACGACUGUCCUAAGGGUUGUAAACUUCUUUUAUAAAGGAACAAAGUGAGGCACGUGAGCCUGUCUGAAUGUACUUGAUGAAUAAGGAUCGGCUAACUCCGUGCCAGCAGCCGCGGUAAUACGGAGGAUCCGAGCGUUAUCCGGAUUUAUUGGGUUUAAAGGGAGCGUAGGGGGGCUGUUAAGUCAAUUGUGAAAGUCUGGGGCUCAACCGUAAAAGUGCAGUUGAAACUGGCAGCCUUGAGUUCUGGUGAGGUAUGCGGAAUUCGUGGUGUAGCGGUGAAAUGCUUAGAUAUCACGAAGAACUCCGAUUGCGAAGGCAGCCUACUGAAC
RNAcentral lists this ribosomal RNA (399 nucleotides) under uncultured bacterium. RNAcentral's name for it is "partial 16S ribosomal RNA". It matches the Rfam family "Bacterial small subunit ribosomal RNA", at positions 338 to 734 of the family's 1533-position model. The record is from RNAcentral.